GCGGUGGUAGUUCAAUGGUAGAAUUCUUGCCUUCCAUGUGGGAGAUCCGGGUUCAAUUCCCAACCAAUGUA
RNAcentral lists this transfer RNA (71 nucleotides) under Loxodonta africana (African savanna elephant). It matches the Rfam family "tRNA". Rfam says of the family: Transfer RNA (tRNA) molecules are approximately 80 nucleotides in length. Their secondary structure includes four short double-helical elements and three loops (D, anti-codon, and T loops). Lineage: Eukaryota; Metazoa; Chordata; Mammalia; Proboscidea; Elephantidae. The record is from Rfam by way of RNAcentral.